UGAGGAAUAUUGGGCAAUGGGGGGAACCCUGACCCAGCUAUGCCGCGUGAGUGAAGAAGGUUUUCGAAUUGUAAGGCUCUUUCGGGUGUGACGAUGAUGACGGUAGCACCUAAAGAAGCCCCGGCAAACUUCGUGCCAGCAGCCGCGGUAAUACGAAGGGGGCAAGCGUUGUUCGGAAUUACUGGGCGUAAAGGGUGUGUAGGUUGACGUGUAAGAUAGCGGUGAAAUGCCGGGGCUCAACCUCGGAAUUGCCAUUAUAACUAUGCGUCUAGAAUUAUAGAGAGGAUAGCGGAAUACCCAGUGUAGAGGUGAAAUUCGUAGAUAUUGGGUAGAACACCAGUGGCGAAGGCGGCUAUCUGGCUAUAUAUUGACCUGAGCACGAAAGCAUGGGGAUCAAACAGGAUUAGAUACCC
This 413-nucleotide ribosomal RNA is filed under the name uncultured bacterium. RNAcentral's name for it is "bacterial SSU rRNA". It matches the Rfam family "Bacterial small subunit ribosomal RNA", at positions 355 to 787 of the family's 1533-position model. The record is from RNAcentral.